CCUUUCCCUUGUUCACAUUUCUCUCUUCCUCAUUUCUUCUUCACUCACUCGCACACACACGGCCGUGAGAGAGAGAGAGCUGCCAUGGGAGAGAUUGAUGCUGAGAGUGAGGCGUUGCAAAUUUUUGAGAGGGAGAUUUAGAGCACGACGCAAAGAAGAAGAUGAGAAAUGGAUUUUCGGACAUGGGUCUUUGUAAGGAUCGUGUCCGGAUUGGGGACCUUAAAUGGUUCUCCAAUCUAGAAUUCAAGUAACUAGAACACGGGGGAAUGUCGGAGUCAUGAGUCCAAUGCAGCUAAGAUGAUGUUCCUUUGGCUGUAGGUACUCCGGUCGUAGUUGAUGGUGUUGUAGAUGUGUACUUGAGAUAUUAUGACCGAAGCUCGCCGCGACGGUAGUGAUUGCGGGGCAAUGGACGUCCUCUGUUUUAUUGGUUUGUUUAUGGCUUGUGAUGUCUGUGUCACUUGUUAUUGUAUAAGUCAUUAUGUUAUGUAUUUAAUUUGAGGAAAGAUUUAAACAGAUAGAUGUAAUAUUGGCUCUUGUUUAUGAUUAAUUUAUGAUAGAGUUUUAAGA
This is a long non-coding RNA of Alnus glutinosa, 567 nucleotides long. RefSeq lists it as uncharacterized. The record is from RefSeq and is a predicted model, not a curated record. The transcript is spliced from 3 exons. NCBI's taxonomy places the organism in Eukaryota, Viridiplantae, Streptophyta, Magnoliopsida, Fagales, Betulaceae.